Long non-coding RNA from Panthera uncia (snow leopard), 952 nucleotides. RefSeq lists it as uncharacterized. The transcript is spliced from 2 exons. The record is from RefSeq and is a predicted model, not a curated record. NCBI's taxonomy places the organism in Eukaryota, Metazoa, Chordata, Mammalia, Carnivora, Felidae.
AUCUUCAAAAUAUAGAGCUGGUAUGCUACUUCAUUUUACUGCUGAUGUAUAAAAGAACAAGAACCUAGAGCAAACUGAGCAAAUCCUCUUAAAAGUUAAACACAUGGCUAAUCUACUAAGGCAAAUAUUCCAACUUCUUGGAUGCCUUACAAGGCCCAAGGAAUAAAGGCUAAGAAAGAAAUCUUUGGUCACACAAAAACAGAAAUUAAAUCGGCAAUAUACAGCUUUUCUAAAGAAUUUACACAAUUAAGUCAACAAAACAAAAAUUAAGUAUAAAGAUGUUUCAGGGUGCCCGGAAGAAGAAGAAGAAGAAGAAGAAAGAAGGGAAAGAAAGAUCUCACAGGUGAAAAAAGAACCCUAGAAACAGCACUAAACCAUUUAAGCUUUGCAAUUAUUCUGGUAAACAGAUGAUGACAGUGAGAAUAAAACUGGGGAAAAAAAAGAUUGCUAAAAGGAAUCUCAAGAAGCAGUAAUGACUGAUACUGGGAAAUGCAAAAGGCAGUAAGAGUUUGCAAGGUCUCAGAAAGUCAAGUGCUGAAACAGAGGACAUUUCUAUCAGUACACCACAAUUAAAGAAGUUCAAACAUGACUGAUAAGCACACUUCCAGUUCAAAAUGGCCCAUUAAGCACACAAGUUUACCUUCUUUACCUUAAAGUAGGUCCUAUGUUAAAAUUACUAUAAUGGAGGAAAACAAAUACAACAGGAAAAGAGUCACCAUCAUCAGCAAGGGGUGAUGUCAACCCACAUUUAUCAAGAAGUAAAGAAAAAAACUUUUAUUGAGUGUGCACAAAGGAACCUAACAGCUGAGGAUGGGACUGAUCCACCCCUGAAUCUUGGAUUACAGACCUGUACUUGAAAAAGCCACACAUGGCAGAGGGCAAAAGUGAAACUUUUCAAAGAUCAAUCGCUAUGAAAAGAAAGUUACUAAAGGAAAUCCUAAACAAUGUACUA